Long non-coding RNA from Alligator sinensis (Chinese alligator), 1268 nucleotides. RefSeq lists it as uncharacterized. The transcript is spliced from 3 exons. Lineage: Eukaryota; Metazoa; Chordata; Crocodylia; Alligatoridae. The record is from RefSeq and is a predicted model, not a curated record.
GCGGGGAAGCGCCGGGCGGCGGUGAGUGGGGCGCGGGGGGCGCUUGCAAACUUUGGCAACUUGAGAUCCGGGGAGGGGGGUCCCUGCCCCAGCUGGGGAGAUGCAUUUUUUUGGGGGGGUGGUUUGCAUGCUGCAGCUGGGGGAGGAGAAGGGAAUUCAGGAUGAUUUUUAUCCCCUCCCUCUUCUCUCCUCGUCUUUGUGGCCGGGGCGGCCCAUCGGCUUGCAGCUCACGUCCCGGGGAAGAUCAAAAGCGGCGGGGGAGAGGCAGAGGGGCAGCAGAGAGCCGCCGCCUCGCUGGGGGGAGAGAAGGGAAAACAGCCCCCCCUCCCCAAAAAAACAACACCCCAAAUUGGCACGGGCGGGACUCGAACCGGCUGCUGCUGCUGCUUCGCCGGACCGCGAGCGCCCGAGGCCGGCGGGGAAAGGUGCGCGGAGGCUGCAGCAUCCUCAGCCCCUGGCCGGUCGCUGCCGCCGGCCGCUCUUUGCCCGCGGUCCAGCGGAGGAGAUGGAGCUGCCUGGGCACGGGCACGGGCGCCGGCAAGGCACCAGCUCCCAGCCAGGACAGGUUACAACAGGAUUUCCCCUGGGCAUGAAUUUGACUAUGACACACCAGUGAUGCUGAGCAAAAGACAGUAGUGAGCAACAACCUACAAAUGAAAACCUGGUGCAGCAAAACGUGAAACAUCAAAUUAUACAUGAUAUCGCUCCUUGGUAGCAAACAAGCUGCUACCCAUCCCUGAUAUUUCUCCUAUUUUGCGUGCGUUGAGCAGCAGAUUGAAUCUGCCUUCUCUGGAGCCCCUGGCUGGAUCGAGCACGCCUGCGUCACGUCUUCCUCCCGGCCGAUGCUGAGAUCAGGAUGCACCUCUCUCUGCUAGUAGGAGGCAGAGCUCAGCACAGAAACACGUGGUGGAAAGGACAAAAGAAGCAUAGAGGAAGGUGGGACAGGCCGGGCACGUGGUGGCCAAAGGAGGAUGCUAAACAACCCAGUGGGAAGAAGACCGUGAUGUUCAAGACAGGACGUGUGAUUAAGACUUGCAUAUCUACAUGUGGCUUUAUAGCACCAGGAACCACAACUUUACUCAGACUUUGUUCCGGCCAGACCCAAUUUCUCCCGUUCCUUCUGUGUAGCUGCCAGAGGCUGUCCUUUAAUAUUGCCCCGUUGUACAAAAAUCCGGUAGCAAUACUCCUUUCUGGCUCUUAGUCUUUCCUUUAUGUUAUUCCUCUCCUAAGGGAGCCCCAUUGAUUUCCAAUAAAGCAGCAGGUUGAUU